Molecule: ribosomal RNA, 378 nt
Filed under: uncultured bacterium
Lineage: Bacteria
Description: bacterial SSU rRNA
Rfam family: Bacterial small subunit ribosomal RNA
Source: RNAcentral
AAACGUAGGGGGCCAGCGUUGUCCGGAUUUACUGGGCGUAAAGGGCGCGUAGGCGGCUUAGUAAGCGGAAGGUGUAAUCCCGAGGCUCAACCUCGGAACUGCCCUCCGAACUGCUAGGCUUGAGUACGGGAGAGGAUAGUGGAAUUCCUGGUGUAGCGGUGGAAUGCGUAAAUAUCAGGAGGAACACCGGUGGCGAAGGCUGCUAUCUGGAACGUAACUGACGCUGAGGCGCGAAAGCUAGGGUAGCGAACGGGAUUAGAUACCCCGGUAGUCCUAGCCGUAAACGAUGGACACUAGGUGUUGGGGGAUCGACCCCCCCAGUGCUGUUAUGUUAACGCGUUAAGUGUCCCGCCUGGGGAGUACGGUCGCAAGGCUAAA